RNAcentral lists this ribosomal RNA (443 nucleotides) under uncultured bacterium. RNAcentral describes it as "partial 16S ribosomal RNA". It matches the Rfam family "Bacterial small subunit ribosomal RNA", at positions 338 to 795 of the family's 1533-position model. The record is from RNAcentral.
CCUACGGGAGGCAGCAGUGGGGAAUAUUGGGCAAUGGGCGCAAGCCUGACCCAGCAACGCCGCGUGAAGGAAGAAGGCUUUCGGGUUGUAAACUUCUUUUCUCAGGGACGAAGAAAGUGACGGUACCUGAUGAAUAAGCCACGGCUAACUACGUGCCAGCAGCCGCGGUAAUACGUAGGUGGCAAGCGUUAUCCGGAUUUAUUGGGUGUAAAGGGCGUGUCGGCGGGAGCGCAAGUCAGAUGUGAAAACUCAGGGCUCAACCCUGAGUCUGCAUUUGAAACUGUGUUUCUUUAGUGCUGGGGAGGCAAUCGGAAUUCCGGGUGUAGCGGUGAAAUGAGUAGAUAUACGGAGGAACACCAGUGGCGAAGGCGGAUUGCUGGACAGUAACUGACGCUGAGGCGCGAAAGCGUGGGGAGCAAACAGGAUUAGAUACCCCAGUAGUC